AAAGAAGAAGAUGAAAAAUACCAUAUUGUUCAUGAAGUUGCAUUUUAAUUUAUACUGAGUGUGCUGUCAUUUUGCUUUUUUUUUCUAUUUAAUUUCGUUUUUUUAUCAUAUAUAUAUUCGUACAUGCCAUGUUUCAACACGAUGGGAUCACUGGUUGAGUUGGUUUAGGCUUUGGUCUCCCAAUUCCCAUGACCUGGGUUUAACCCUUGCAGUCCAUACAACAUUUUUUGUGGUUUAGUUUUCUACUAUUU
RNAcentral lists this long non-coding RNA (251 nucleotides) under Lathyrus oleraceus (garden pea). Its description in RNAcentral is "Pisum sativum (pea) long non-coding RNA (PSAT_LNC000925)". The record is from RNAcentral. Lineage: Eukaryota; Viridiplantae; Streptophyta; Magnoliopsida; Fabales; Fabaceae.